UGUUCGGCGCGCUGCCGGGGAGCUUCGGGCCGCUGGUGGCGGUCUCGGCGGGCAUCUCGCUCGCCGUCGGCCUGGUCGUGGCGGGCCUGGUCAA
This 94-nucleotide transfer RNA is filed under the name Nonomuraea spiralis. RNAcentral's name for it is "tRNA-Thr". Lineage: Bacteria; Bacillati; Actinomycetota; Actinomycetes; Streptosporangiales; Streptosporangiaceae. The record is from RNAcentral.